UAUGUCGUGUGUAUGAUUGAGUAUAAGAACUAGAACCGCAACUGAUUCCCAAAAGCUAAAGUAAUGUUUCCUUGUUUGAAGAUACAAAGCU
Molecule: small RNA, 91 nt
Filed under: Arabidopsis thaliana (thale cress)
Lineage: Eukaryota; Viridiplantae; Streptophyta; Magnoliopsida; Brassicales; Brassicaceae
Description: ATSL198090
Source: RNAcentral